Molecule: long non-coding RNA, 1130 nt
Filed under: Papio anubis (olive baboon)
Lineage: Eukaryota; Metazoa; Chordata; Mammalia; Primates; Cercopithecidae
Description: lncRNA (ENSPANG00000048416.1)
Source: RNAcentral
CUUUUAUCAAUUGCUGCAAGUAUCUUCUUUCAGUGUGUGGCUUCCUUUUUCACUCCGUUUGUUGUUUUUUUAAUCGAAGUAUAAGUUCUUAAUUUUAACGCAUUUGAACUGUCAUUUUCCACCACGGCCCGAGUCGCGGAGCCCGCCUUCCUGGCCAGAGCGCUGCGUGGUCACAGCUGGGGUCUGGGGAGCAGAGGCUGCGGGCGCUCCCGGGGGUUGGGGGGGAGAGCUGGGCGAUUUCGGCGGGGGGAGGUGCCGCUCGAGGGGCCGCCAGGCUGCGCGAGGAAGGAGGGCCUGGAGGCCGCGGGGGUCCUCGGCGCAGACUGGAGCCGCAGGCACCGCGCGCAGCCCCCGUCCGCCUCGCCGAGGCCCCGCGGGCCCAGGAGCGCGAGGUCUGGCGCCCAGGACCAGAGGGGGUCGGCGGGAGCAGGCGCCGCCUCCAAAGGACGCCCUCGCCCUCCCGCAGGCGCUGGCUCCAGACCCUGACCAGCCAGCUGGGAGCUGAGCCGGGGUAGGGCCGGGCAGCCCAGAGGAUCAGAACGGGGUUUUCUCCCGGGGUUGGGGGUUCUUUGGCCAGCGCCGCCCUCCCCCGCCGGGGCCGCCCACCCGCAAGCCCCGCCCCGAAGGCUGGAGCUUCCCUGGGGAUGGGCGAAGCCGAGGCCACGCCCUGAAGGCGGGAGCGGCUUUGGGGCGGGACCUGGCAGCCCUCAGGGCUCCAGCGCCAAGUUCAGAGCCACGCGCUGCUCUUGGCCGGGAGGAGGCUGUGCUGCCCCAGCACCUCUUGCUCCACAUCUCCAGAGAGCCCAGUGAAGAAAACACCAAGGUCACCCUCUUUAUAGAUCAGAAAACAGAGGCCUGGAGAGGACCCACACCUUGCCCAAGGUCACAGGUUGGAGAGAGCAGAGCUGACCCUGGAGCCCGUGCACUUAACAUCUAUGUGGAUGGAAGACUCCAAGGUUACCUGAGACAACCUGGUUAAGGUAUAGACAGGGCCCUGUGGCCGAGUGUGUCCAGCCCAGUGUCACAGGGAGCUUCCACAUCUCAUGGCUCCUUGCUGGGCCAAGCCCUCCAGAACCCCAAACCCGCAAAGACUGAUGGCUGCCAGAGUGGCCACCUUGCUUAUCCUGUGG